GGCCCCUUAGCUCAGACGGUAAGAGCAGGCGACUCAUAAUCGCUUGGUCGCUGGUUCAAGUCCAGCAGGGGCCAUCA
Molecule: transfer RNA, 77 nt
Filed under: Candidatus Erwinia haradaeae
Lineage: Bacteria; Pseudomonadati; Pseudomonadota; Gammaproteobacteria; Enterobacterales; Erwiniaceae
Description: transfer RNA Lysylated Isoleucine
Rfam family: tRNA
About the family: Transfer RNA (tRNA) molecules are approximately 80 nucleotides in length.
Source: RNAcentral